RNAcentral lists this long non-coding RNA (7368 nucleotides) under Triticum aestivum (bread wheat). RNAcentral describes it as "long non-coding RNA (TAES_LNC023661)". Lineage: Eukaryota; Viridiplantae; Streptophyta; Magnoliopsida; Poales; Poaceae. The record is from RNAcentral.
AGCACGUACAUGUGAUCCCCCUCUCACUCUGAUUCCAAGGUUGUUUCUCUCCAUAUUCCAUUCCUCUCACAAUUUGUUUCUUUUCCUAGGCUUUUACUUUAUCAUGUGCGUGCUAUGCUUCUCACAAAAUAUCUAAUUCUGUUGCUUUUCAUGUCUAUGUAAGCAUUAUGUUCUCCUUUGUUUAAUUUCAUUAUUGCUAUGAAAAGAGAAAUCAAGGAUUACUUUUCUUGGUACAUAUGCAGUGUAUUUAUGUUUCGUGUGGUAACAGUUCAGUUAGAGGUGAGAUGCAUCGACAUACAUGGUUGAAGGCUAUACAUUAGUUGGAUAGAUAGAUUGAGCAAUACACCUGUUGCGCCAUCAUCGAUGAAUUAACAGAAGAAUAGAUGGUGCGUUUGGCAAAAUAUCCAAUAGUCAGCGUUGGUGUUUAGUGGGUUUUAAGCAUUUCUGGCAGCUCUCUUCCUACCUUAUUCUUUCAUUUAUAUCUUGUAUUUUAAUAGGUCAAGCUUGUGCUUAGUUUGCUUGAAUGUAACUUGCUUCCUUUCUGUUGAGGAAGACAAUGGCUCUCAGUUGCCAUGUUCAGACUUAAUCGCUUGAAUCAGUUGCAUAAUGGACAUGUUGUCGAAGAAAGGCAGGGUUUGAGAAAUCUGAAAGAGCUUGAGAAUUUAUAUGGCCAGAAGAAGGCCAAGAGUGCAUAAGGGGUUAUUUGUACCAUAGAAAAAGUAAUAUGCCUUGGUUCAGUUUACACAUUUGAACUCACGCCUUUUAAAGAAUGACAUUUGUGGUUGAAAAUUGAUUACUUGAGAAGUUGAGAACCUGAAAAUGUUUGUCUGUAAUGCAUCUAUUUGUGUGUCAGACACUUCUCCGUUUCUCACAGAACACAACCUUGUAUGUUUUUGGCACAUGUUUUCAAAUGCUCACGCUAGAUCCGAUAGUAUGUAUCCAUAAUUGGUUUUCAGUUUUUGUUCUAAUUUAUUCCCAUAAAGAGUAUCAACAUGCUCUAAUUUAUAGCGAGAUUUAGUCCAGUAUUACUAAUCAUAGGUGUGCUUUUAUGCAGGUUAUGUUGCUGAUGGUAGGUGUCACUCUGGAUUGCAGAAAACAUGAUAAGAGCAUGGAGAUGGAUUGCUGCAUAUAUAUGCUACCCACACUACCAUUUUCUUGAUCAUGUGUGUAGAGUUGAACUACUCGUUUCAUAUAUCCUUAAUUCUUAUUCCUUUUAAUCUCCAUAUGACAUAGAAGGUUCUGGUUGCUCUAUUAACAUGAUCGGAUUUUGUGUGUCUUUUUGCAUACAACAUGAUAAGAGCAUGGAUGGAUUGCUGCAAAUUCAUGUUGUUGUUGCGGGAUCAUGCCGGCCCUCCCUUGUGCUAGCCAGCCAUCAGGACCGACUGCGGUUGGUUCAUGCCGACGCGGCUGUGGCUCCCUGUGCUGCUCCUCUCAUGUUGCAUCUUCUUCCUCGCGGGCUUCUUUGGCUCCCUCCUCUUCACCCAGGUAACUGUUGGGGAACGUAGUAAUUUCAAAAAAAAAUCCUACGCACACGCAAGAUCAUGGUGAUGCAUAGCAACGAGAGGGGAGAGUGUUGUCCACGUACCCUCGUAGACCGAUAGCGGAAGCGUUAUCACAACGCGGUUGAUGUAGUCGUACAUCUUCACGAUCCGACCGAUCAAGUACCGAACGCACGGCACCUCCGAGUUCUACACACGUUCAGCUCGAUGACGUCCCUCGAACUCCGAUCCAGCCGAGUGUUGAGGGAGAGUUCCGUUAGCACGAAGGCGUGGUGACGAUGAUGAUGUUCCACCGACGCAGGGCUUCGCCUAAGCUCCGCAACGAUAUUAUCGAGGUGUAAUAUGGUGGAGGGGGGCACCGCACACGGCUAAGAGAUCUCAAGGAUCAAUUGUUGUCUCUGGGGUGCCCCCCUGCCCCCGUAUAUAAAGGAGCAAGGGGGGGGGGUAGCCGGCCAAGGAGGAGGGCGCGCCAAGGGGGGAGUCCUACUCCCACCGGGAGUAGGACUCCUCCUUUCCUUGUGGGAGUAGGAGAAGGGAAGGGGGAAGGAGAAAGAAGGAAGGGUGCGCCCCCCUUCCCUAGUCCAAUUCGGACCAGACCAUGGGGAGGGGUGCGGUCACCUUUUGAGGCCUUUCUCUCCUUUCCCGUAUGGCCCAUUAAGGCCCAAUACGAAUUCCCGUAACUCUCCGGUACUCCGAAAAAUACCCGAAUCACUCGGAACCUUUCCGAAGUCCGAAUAUAGUCGUCCAAUAUAUCGAUUUUUACGUCUCGACCAUUUCGAGACUCCUCGUCAUAUCUCCGAUCUCAUCCGGGACUCCGAACUCCUUCGGUACAUCAAAACUCAAUAAAACUGUCAUCGUAACGUUAAGCGUGCGGACCCUACGGGUUCGAGAACUAUGUAGACAUGACCGAGACACGUCUCCGGUCAAUAACCAAUAGCGGGACCUGGAUGCCCAUAUUGGCUCCCACAUAUUCUACGAAGAUCUUUAUCGGUCAGACCGCAUAACAACAUACGUUGUUCCCUUUGUCACCGGUAUGUUACUUGCCCGGGAUUUGAUCGUCGGUAUCUCGAUACCUAGUUCAAUCUCGCUACCGGCAAGUCUCUUUACUCGUUCCGUAACACAUCAUCCCGCAACUAACUCAUUAGUCACAAUGCUUGCAAGGCUUAUAGUGAUGUGCAUUACCGAGUGGGCCCAGAGAUACCUCUCCGACAAUUGGAGUGACAAAUCCUAAUCUCGAAAUACGCCAACCCAACAAGUACCUUUGGAGACACCUGUAGAGCACCUUUAUAAUCACCCAUUUACGUUGUGACGUUUGGUAGCACACAAAGUGUUCCUCCGGUAAACGGGAGUUGCAUAAUCUCAUAGUCAUAGGAACAUGUAUAAGUCAUGAAGAAAGCAAUAGCAACAUACUAAACGAUCGGGUGCUAAGCUAACGGAAUGGGUCAAGUCAAUCACGUCAUUCUCCUAAUGAGGUGAUCCCGUUAAUCAAAUGACAACUCAUGUCUAUGGCUAGGAAACAUAACCAUAUUUGAUUAACGAGCUAGUCAAGUAGAGGCAUACUAGUGACACUCUGUUUGUCUAUGUAUUCACACAUGUAUUAUGUUUCCGGUUAAUACAAUUCUAGCAUGAAUAAUAAACAUUUAUCAUGAUAUAAGGAAAUAUAUAAUACUUUAUUAUUGCCUCUAGGGCAUAUUUCCUUCAGUAACAUGGUGGGCCCAUGUUACCCCCGUCUCGCAAGUUCGUUUCGUCGCGCGCGGGCUUCUGAUCUGGGGUCGCUCUGUCGGUUGUUCCAUGGCAGGAUACGCAGGGGGAGGAGGACAUGGAGCAGCCACUGCCAAGGGAACGGUUGCUCUAUUUACCCUUAUUGUCGGUUUCACUUGCCUAGCCUAGGUAUGCUGAGAUAAUCAUUAUGUGAGGUGAUCUAUCCAUUUUCAGAGUUCCCUCAUUAGUAUCCCUCAUUGUUAAUUGCUAUGCUUAAUUGGAUACUCUGUGUUGUGUUGUUUGCCUUAUUUUGACCCAAAUAAACCACCCCAUUACCAUAUUUUACACUAAUGCCAUAUUUAAUCAUUGACAUAACUUUGGAGGUUUAGUUCAAUUAAAAAGAUGAUGCCAUGUGACUGGAAAGUAUAUAUGUUCAGAUUAUAAUUUAAAUGGAUACGGUGAUUGGCAAUAGAUAAAUCAUAUUAGCCUUGCAUUGCAGAUUAUUUCCUUUUUGUGGUUGGCAUGAAUGGCUUUUGUACUCAAUGGUUUAAGCAGUUGCUCUUUGAAAUAUAAUUUUUCUAUGUAAGAUCUUACCGGCUGUUCUAUUAUUUAAAAUCAUUUGCCAUGUUUGUACUCUUGCUGAAGUUUGAAGAGUUUCCCGGGGGUGGCGAGGAGUACCGGCAUAUCGAGUCCCUGGUGUUUUCCUCUACGAGCUGGGGAGGGCGUGUGGUUCUCUCCUCGUCGGUUUCACUUCUCCCCUUCCUCCUCCAUGGUGCUCAAAAAUAUCACUGACUGCGUGAAUUUAAAAAAUUUGUAGUCUUAUACAAAUAGAAAGAAUAUAUGAUCUAACCUUAUUUCUUAAUCCAACGGUAUCCUACUGCAUUAGUGUACGAGCUGUUACACACAAACAUGGCUUGAAGUUUUCGGAUAAAUGGGACAAACAUAGGGUUGCAGAUUGUAAAUCCAAGUUUUUUUCGCAAAUCAAUUUGACACUAAUCCUUAGAAAAAAGAUAUUUCUGUUGCAUAGAUUGCGUUGUAUAGGUUGUUGACUUGAUUUACAUCACUCCAGUUUUACGAUGGCACAAAAAUUAAUUUAAUUCUGUUAAUUGCAACUGCAACUCUUUCUCAUCACACACAAUGUUAACCUUAUAGAGCUAAGGUGGUUAUAGUUAGAAACCUCUACAAUAUCAUGGAUUGAUUUAGGGUUUCAAAAUAUUGUGAACUGUAAAACGUCUUAUAUUAUAGGACAGUGGUAGUAGUUAACAUGAUUGUUUCAGAUUCUGCCAUGGAAGCAUUUUACCCCUUUUGCAACUUUCGUUACACUAAAUUAGUACUGAAUUGUAAUAUUUCUUCUCUGGGUAUUUUACGUUACAGGAUUGGAACGAAAAGAAGAAACUACAGCGUCACAUAACUGCAGCAAAGAAGGUACUGCAUGAGAUGUAACAGGGUCGUAUUAUGGAAGGUUAGCUCUGAAUUAAUGUUCAUCAUAUGUGCUCUGUACUAAUGAUUGUCCUCAGGGAUUAUUCCAUUCAUAUUGCUCUGAAUUAAUCGUACUCUCAUGCUGCCUCAUUACCUUAUUAUGUUACAACUUUGCUGAAAAAGCCAUUGUUGGUAUCUGGAGUACAAACUGUAGAAUUAGGAUCCUCUGACAUCUAUUUACUACUCUGAAUUUAUUAUUAUUCAAUGACCAUAUAAAUACACAUUUCCAAAUAAUAUAUAUUAGUUUGUCUAUUCAAUGGUGUCAUUUUCCAUUUUUAUAGGCAUUCAGACCUCCCUGUUAUUUUUGUUCUAAGGAUGCACUUCAGUAUUAUGUAACUAUGCUGAUUUUACUGUCAGCAUAAAUAAUAGACGAGUUAAUAUUUCUGCUACAUAACUUUACACCGUAACAAAUCUGGAGACUUCUAACUGGAAGACACAAUUUUCAUUUUUGAAGCGAAGAACAGAAUCCCUGCUGUUCCACGGAGUGAGUACAGUUAAGGUAAAAAAAGGAAAAAGGAAGUCUGGAGCUCUCUCGGCUGUACAACAGAGGGGUUACUUCACGUACUCAUCAGCAGUGAGGCUAAUAUCAUCUCCAAUCAAGUGAAAAAGCAAGGGCGCAGCCUUAGUUUUCUGUUGGAAGACUUCUAUUUCUCUCAUUCCAGAGGUGCUAGCCUGUGCAAGCAGUGACAGUGUACUUUUUAUUGAUCUGAAUCUUCAGGCUUCAUUUUGAAAUUUUGGUCCACGAACGCUUGAUCGCAAAAGUAACAGGUAUCAUGGUGAGGCCAGUUUCUGUUUUGCAUGUUGCCUUAUUUCUCUUCUAUCUGCAGUUUGCUUCCACGUUCUAUAUGUUUGCGAGGAAAUUUCAAAUCGUUUUGUAUGCUCAUCAAUUGGUGCAUCUAGAAUAUGUAUGUGAACCGUGUACCUUACGGAUUCCUUAAGGGCCUCAUGAUUGUUGGUGUUUUUUUCCAUAUGAAAACACCAAGGUUAUUAUCCUAACUAUCAUAGUUUGUACCAGCAGGAUUAUCAUAACAAUUAUGCAAUUAUUUUCCAGGUGAUUACAUAGUUAAAGGUAGUGACUUUUUUAGUCCUAUGUGAUUUCUUAUCAACUGAGCUAUCAAAUUGUGCAUUAUGUACUUGGUCACAACGUUGUAACCGGCACCCUCGCGCGUUUCCGAUCUCAUUGGAUACUUUUGUACUUUAGUUAGAAGCAUAAUUGUCAGAAGCAAGCAUAAUGGCCAUAUGAUGAAGCCGAUAAGUGUUUAGUAGAGACUCCAAUCAAUUCGAUCUCUCCAUGAUCUUUACCGCAUAUGAUAUUUUCCUUCUGGGUAUUUAACUUUGUCAAGUGCAUGCUAUGGUUCAGAGCAAAAUUCAGUUUCCAGUUAUAAUUCAGUGAUUUUCUUACCUUGUAUUUUAUUUUGCAUAAUUGUAGAAAUUGCGGUGGCCAUCCGCGGAUCUACAGUCCCUGGUUUGCUUUGUCGAGGUAUGAUCUUUCAUAAUGUGUUGUAUCUUGCAAUAUUAUUUGAUUUGUUCUUGCCAUCAUUUUUUAGUCUCUUGCAAUAUUAUUUGAUUUAUUUCUCUCAUAAACAGAGCACAAGUUGCCCCUUCUAAUUGAUCUAUCUUGUAUCUAUAUGGUGCAGUGGUGUGUUAGAAUAUGUACAGUCCCAUGUUUUGGUUUCUGCAUUACUUUGUUGUUCUCUAAGCUGUACAAAUAGUGAGACCAAAUUAUGUUCAGUAUAUUCCUUACAUGGUAGAUCCACGGAUGUCCACCCCAAUUUCUACAAUUUUUUAAUACAACAAACUACCAUUUUUUAAUCAUACACUACCUCCUCUGACAGAGAUGGUCGUCGUCCCAUCUUUGUGGUUUAGGAAUAUGCUCUUUUAUUUUGCAAGCAGAAAAUUGAUUAAGGUUUGUGUGAUCAAGUUUAUGUGUUGCCUGCUAUGCAGUGUCCUGGGCAAGAGGACCAAGUGUGGGCGGGUAGGUAUCGGCAAGGCGGGCUGUCAGCAUGGUGUUGGAGUUGGUCGGUAGUGGUGCACCUACGCCACGUAUGGAUCAAUACUCUAGGAGGUUCCAUUGAGGCCCAGUCUAUCCAGGUAGUUUGUUAUACUACUGACUUAGAUACACUUUAUUUAUCAAGAAUUUUUGUAUAUCAUAAUAUCAAAGGCAAAAGGGUCUGUCUAUGGAUGCACUUCUUAUGGUCAUGUACAUUUCAGAGCCACUAUUAUUCAUCAAGAACAUAAUUUAACUAAAGCUCGUUAAAAAAAUUGCCCAUAGAAAUAAUCACUUUGGAUUGGUAGUGUCAAAAGGAUGCAGAACAUUUGUAACAUUUCUUCCCAUAUUCAUGAGACUUUCACUCUGCUGUUGCAUUAGUCAAGUUUAAUUUCAUUACAUAUGUGUGCAUGUAUCAGUUUUCAUAUUUAAAAUGAUAUAUUUAAGAAUUAUCAGAAAUUUUGCCAAAUUUGCUGGGCACAAAACAGAGAUCUGGAAGCAGGACAAACGUCACUGAUAUUUUGUUGGUCAUUUUUGGUGUCGCAUCUCAAAUGGAAUGGCACUCAUGGAGGCAAUUGAACCAAGCUAUGGCAUCGUAGUUUUAUCUCUCUAUUGCCACUGUUGGCUUUUGCUCUCUUGUGUUCCUGCUCAUAUUAUUGAACUUAAUGUUAGCUAAUUAGCUUUUGUAAUUAUACGACCGUG